RNAcentral lists this ribosomal RNA (201 nucleotides) under uncultured bacterium. RNAcentral's name for it is "partial 16S ribosomal RNA". It matches the Rfam family "Bacterial small subunit ribosomal RNA", at positions 1300 to 1500 of the family's 1533-position model. The record is from RNAcentral.
GUAGUCUGCAACUCGACUACAUGAAGCUGGAAUCGCUAGUAAUCGCAGAUCAGAAUGCUGCGGUGAAUACGUUCCCGGGUCUUGUACACACCGCCCGUCACACCAUGGGAGUCGGAAAUGCCCGAAGCCGGUGACCGAACCAAUAAGGAAGGAGCCGUCGAAGGCAGGUCUGAUAACUGGGUGAAGUCGUAACAAGGUAAC